GGGGGAUAUUGCGCAAUGGGGGCAACCCUGACGCAGCAACGCCGCGUGAAGGAUGAAGGUUUUCGGAUUGUAAACUUCUUUUAUUAAGGACGAAAUUUGACGGUACUUAAUGAAUAAGCUCCGGCUAACUACGUGCCAGCAGCCGCGGUAAUACGUAGGGAGCAAGCGUUGUCCGGAUUUACUGGGUGUAAAGGGAGCGCAGGCGGGAGAACAAGUUGGAAGUGAAAUCCAUGGGCUCAACCCAUGAACUGCUUUCAAAACUGUUUUUCUUGAGUAGUGCAGAGGUAGGCGGAAUUCCCGGUGUAGCGGUGGAAUGCGUAGAUAUCGGGAGGAACACCAGUGGCGAAGGCGGCCUACUGGGCACCAACUGACGCUGAGGCUCGAAAGUGUGGGUAGCAAACAGGAUUAGAUACCCUGGUAGUCCACACCGUAAACGAUGAUUACUAGGUGUUGGGGGAUUGACCCCCUCAGUGCCGCAGUUAACACAAUAAGUAAUCCACCUGGGGAGUACGACCGCAAGGUUGAAACUCAAAGGAAUUGACGGGGGCCCGCACAAGCAGUGGAGUAUGUGGUUUAAUUCGAAGCAACGCGAAGAACCUUACCAGGUCUUGACAUCCGAUGCAUAGUGCAGAGAUGCAUGAAGUCCUUCGGGACAUCGAGACAGGUGGUGCAUGGUUGUCGUCAGCUCGUGUCGUGAGAUGUUGGGUUAAGUCCCGCAACGAGCGCAACCCUUAUUGCCAGUUACUACGAAAGAGGACUCUGGCGAGACUGCCGUUGACAAAACGGAGGAAGGUGGGGAUGACGUCAAAUCAUCAUGCCCUUUAUGACCUGGGCUACACACGUACUACAAUGGCGUUUAACAAAGAGAAGCAAGACCGCGAGGUGGAGCAAAACUCAAAAACAACGUCUCAGUUCAGAUUGCAGGCUGCAACUCGCCUGCAUGAAGUCGGAAUUGCUAGUAAUCGCGGAUCAGCAUGCCGCGGUGAAUACGUUCCCG
This 997-nucleotide ribosomal RNA is filed under the name uncultured bacterium. RNAcentral describes it as "bacterial SSU rRNA". It matches the Rfam family "Bacterial small subunit ribosomal RNA", at positions 356 to 1376 of the family's 1533-position model. The record is from RNAcentral.